GGAGAUGGAUUAUUGUCGUGUUGCCAGUCUGCAGUUCUGUUGAUUUUUACAUACCAUUUAUUUAUAUAAUGACAGGUAUGUUCUACUUCUGUUGAUUAAUCAAGAUUUCAGCGGCAUCUUUACUUAACGUUGUUUCUUAUGUUGAAUUCAGGAUUGCAGAUAAGUCAAUCCUAACUUCAAUUGAACAGUAUGUUCUUGUGAAUUAUAGUGAUCUUCCGGGCAAGAAUCUGACACAUCGAAGAUAAUGCAACUGAUAAAUCAAUAUGGUUUAUGUCGGGGUAUUGCCAAUGGGCAGAACCAGAAUUCGUACAGCCUUGAAGCUGAAAACACUGUGCUUCAUCUAGUCUCCCAAAAUGAUUGGGAUUUGCUUUCAUCAAGAAUUCACUAUUUAUAUUUGAAAUGGUUAUUUCAACAAGAGAAGAUAAGCAGGCUACUGGCUUCCCAUAAACUGAAAUUCAUCAGAAGCGUAGAUGCAACCUGUAUGCUUUGGCCCUUUGGGAAAAUUGAAAUUCAUCAAAAGCGUAGAUGCAACCUGUAUGCUUUGGCCCUUUGG
This 553-nucleotide long non-coding RNA is filed under the name Linum usitatissimum (flax). RNAcentral describes it as "long non-coding RNA (LUSI_LNC005898)". The record is from RNAcentral. Lineage: Eukaryota; Viridiplantae; Streptophyta; Magnoliopsida; Malpighiales; Linaceae.